CAAGUCGGACGGGAUAGGAGAGCUUGCUUUCCUUGAGAGUGGCGCACGGGUGCGUAACACGUAUGUAACCUACCUUGUUCAGGGGGAUAGCCUCUCGAAAGAGAGAUUAAGACCGCAUAACAUUAAGUUGUGGCAUCGCAAUUUAAUCAAAUAUUUAUAGGAACAAGAUGGGCAUGCGGAACAUUAGCUAGUUGGUAAGGUAACGGCUUACCAAGGCUACGAUGUUUAGGGGAUCUGAGAGGAUGACCCCCCACACUGGUACUGAGACACGGACCAGACUCCUACGGGAGGCAGCAGUAAGGAAUAUUGGUCAAUGGGCGGAAGCCUGAACCAGCCAUGCCGCGUGCAGGAAGACGGCCCUACGGGUUGUAAACUGCUUUUGUACGGGAAUAAACCUUUGGUCGUGACCAAAGCUGAAUGUACUGUAAGAAUAAGGAUCGGCUAACUCCGUGCCAGCAGCCGCGGUAAUACGGAGGAUCCAAGCGUUAUCCGGAUUUAUUGGGUUUAAAGGGUGCGUAGGUGGCUUAUUAAGUCAGGGGUGAAAGACGGUAGCUUAACUAUCGCAGUGCCUUUGAUACUGAUGAGCUUGAAUGAACUAGAGGUAGGCGGAAUGUGACAAGUAGCGGUGAAAUGCAUAGAUAUGUCACAGAACACCAAUUGCGAAGGCAGCUUACUAUGGUUAUAUUGACACUGAGGCACGAAAGCGUGGGGAUCAAACAGGAUUAGAUACCCUGGUAGUCCACGCCCUAAACGAUGAAUACUCGAUGUUGGCGAUAUACGGUCAGCGUCUAAGCGAAAGCGUUAAGUAUUCCACCUGGGGAGUACGCCCGCAAGGGUGAAACUCAAAGGAAUUGACGGGGGCCCGCACAAGCGGAGGAGCAUGUGGUUUAAUUCGAUGAUACGCGAGAACCUUACCCGGGCUUGAAA
This 927-nucleotide ribosomal RNA is filed under the name uncultured Sphingobacteriia bacterium. RNAcentral's name for it is "bacterial SSU rRNA". It matches the Rfam family "Bacterial small subunit ribosomal RNA", at positions 58 to 986 of the family's 1533-position model. The record is from RNAcentral. Lineage: Bacteria; Pseudomonadati; Bacteroidota; Sphingobacteriia.